Molecule: ribosomal RNA, 465 nt
Filed under: uncultured Pseudomonadaceae bacterium
Lineage: Bacteria; Pseudomonadati; Pseudomonadota; Gammaproteobacteria; Pseudomonadales; Pseudomonadaceae
Description: bacterial SSU rRNA
Rfam family: Bacterial small subunit ribosomal RNA
Source: RNAcentral
CCUACGGGAGGCAGCAGUGGGGAAUAUUGGACAAUGGGCGAAAGCCUGAUCCAGCCAUGCCGCGUGUGUGAAGAGGGUCUUCGGAUUGUACAGCACUUUAAGUUGGGAGGAAGGGUUGUAACCUACUACGUUGCAAUUUUGACGUUACCGACAGAAUAAGCACCGGCUAACUUCGUGCCAGCAGCCGCGGUAAUACGAAGGGUGCAAGCGUUAAUCGGAAUUACUGGGCGUAAAGCGCGCGUAGGUGGUUAGGUAAGUUGGAUGUGAAAGCCCUGGGCUCAACCUGGGACCUGCAUCCAAAACUGCUUGGCUAGAGUACGGUAGAGGGUAGUGGAAUUUCCUGUGUAGCGGUGAAAUGCGUAGAUAUAGGAAGGAACACCAGUGGCGAAGGCGACUACCUGGACUGAUACUGACACUGAGGUGCGAAAGCGUGGGGAGCAAACAGGAUUAGAUACCCUAGUAGUC